This 801-nucleotide ribosomal RNA is filed under the name uncultured Rubrobacter sp. Its description in RNAcentral is "bacterial SSU rRNA". It matches the Rfam family "Bacterial small subunit ribosomal RNA", at positions 8 to 796 of the family's 1533-position model. Lineage: Bacteria; Bacillati; Actinomycetota; Rubrobacteria; Rubrobacterales; Rubrobacteraceae. The record is from RNAcentral.
AGAGUUUGAUCAUGGCUCAGGACGAACGCUGACGGUGUGCUUUAGGCAUGCAAGUCGAACGAGAAAGCCCUUCGGGGUGAGUAAAGUGGCGAACGGGUGAGUAACACGUGGGCAACCUGCCCCUCGCAGGGGGACAACCGGAGGAAACUCCGGCUAAUACCCCGUACGCUUGUUGGAUCGCAUGGUCCGGCAAGGAAAGGUAGCUUCGGCCAUCCGGCGAGGGAUGGGCCCGCGUUGCAUUAGCUAGUUGGUGGGGUAACGGCCUACCAAGGCGACGAUGCGUAGCUGGUCUGAGAGGAUGAUCAGCCACACUGGGACUGAGACACGGCCCAGACUCCUACGGGAGGCAGCAGCCAGGAAUCUUGGGCAAUGGGCGAAAGCCUGACCCAGCAACACCGUGUGGGUGACGAAGGCCUUAGGGUCGUAAAGCCCUGUUGAUAGGGACGAAGGGCGAAGGGUUAAUAGCCCCUAGCUUGACGGUACCUUUCGAGGAAGCCCCGGCUAACUACGUGCCAGCAGCCGCGGUAAUACGUAGGGGGCGAGCGUUGUCCGGAAUUAUUGGGCGUAAAGAGCGUGUAGGCGGUUCGGUAAGUCUGCUGUGAAAUCCUGGGGCUCAACCCUGGGCGUGCAGCGGAUACUGCCGGGCUAGAGGGUGGUAGAGGCGAGUGGAAUUCCGAGUGUAGCGGUGAAAUGCGCAGAUAUUCGGAGGAACACCAGUAGCGAAGGCGGCUCGCUGGGCCACACCUGACGCUGAGACGCGAAAGCGUGGGGAGCGAACAGGAUUAGAUACCCCAGUAGUCC